This 492-nucleotide ribosomal RNA is filed under the name uncultured bacterium. RNAcentral describes it as "partial 16S ribosomal RNA". It matches the Rfam family "Bacterial small subunit ribosomal RNA", at positions 29 to 507 of the family's 1533-position model. The record is from RNAcentral.
AGUGAACGCUGGCGGUAGGCCUAACACAUGCAAGUCGAACGGCAGCACAGUAAGAGCUUGCUCUUACGGGUGGCGAGUGGCGGACGAGUGAGGAAUACAUCGGAAUCUACUUUUUCGUGGGGGAUAACGUAGGGAAACUUACGCUAAUACCGCAUACGACCUACGGGUGAAAGCAGGGGAUCUUCGGACCUUGCGCGAUUGAAUGAGCCGAUGUCGGAUUAGCUAGUUGGCGGGGUAAAGGCCCACCAAGGCGACGAUCCGUAGCUGGUCUGAGAGGAUGAUCAGCCACACUGGAACUGAGUCACGAUCCAGACUCCUACGGGAGGCAGCAGUGGGGAAUAUUGGACAAUGGGCGCAAGCCUGAUCCAGCCAUACCGCGUGGGUGAAGAAGGCCUUCGGGUUGUAAAGCCCUUUUGUUGGGAAAGAAAAGCAGCAGGUUAAUACCCCGCUGUUCUGACGGUACCUAAAGAAUAAGCACCGGCUAACUUCGUG